UGGGCAGCCUCGGGCGACAGACUGUGCUCUCUCCACCAAGCCUUCUGCAGGUCCGGCGGCCCUGAGCUGCCCCAAGCUAGGCGACAACAUGUCCCACUGCCACCGUGGACUAGGUGUCUGUCGUGAAAGAAGGUUGUUUCCACGAGCGCAGUGAAUCCAUAAAGACCUGGAGUGACGGCUCCUCGCUGGAUGGAAGGAGCGCCGGAGCCCCCGACCAGGCCCUGCCCCCUCUCAACAACUUCUUUGUCGCAGAAAGUCCCUGAUGAAGACCAGGAGACGGUGCCCAACCCUUUUGUCAUACGCUGCCUGCAGUGGACCACAGUCAGCAAGAGGACCAUCCACGUGGACUCGCCAGAGGGAGCUACCUGGAACACACUGAGAAGGAUACUGAAGAAAUGCUGAGCUCUGCUGGAGAGAUUAUCUACUACCAAAGUCUGUCAUGGACACAAAAAGAAGUGUCGGGGCUCCUCAAGGUAAUUAGAGAAAGAGAAGGCACUUGGGAAGUUCAUUUAACUACAUCUCAAUUUAUGGAUCCAGAGAGAGCAAUGAUUAAAACAUCUAUUCUGAAAGUGUGAGGAGAAUGUACAGAGUGAAAAAGAUCCUCUUCUCCCUAGUCAACAGUCUGUUCUGAGAAGGAAUCAGUUUAAAAAAUGAUAGGUGAUGUCUCAAAGGGAUGACUAACAGGGUCAACUGUACAAAGAAGUGUUCCGAUUCCUCAUUCAGCUACCAGCCAUUCCCUCUAUCCCCACCAUCUCCGGACUCCUAUUCAAGCUGAGAGCAGACAGACUGAUGGGAAAAUAUUACCGGAGGGAAACUGCCCUUGCCUGUUUCUGAUUAUGUCUCAGGUAAGUAAUGGUGUCAUUAGAAGUUCCACCACCAGUUUCUCCAAUUCUACAGAACUGAAGAAUGAAAAGUCUUCUAAGCCAAAUGGGUAAAACUAUUCACUCAUCUAUUUAUAUACUACACCCUAUCUUGUACUUAAGUAAUUUAUGCAACGUAUCUCUCAACUGAAUUCUACUUCAUUUUCAUGUUUUAAAUAAAUAUCGAUUACCUAUUUUGUAUCAACAAAAGGAGAAGAGGAGGGAGAGGUGGGAAAAAGGAGGGGCAAGAGGAAGUGGAGGAAGGAGGAAGGUACAUGGUAACAACUGUCUUGAAUAUUUCUUUCCUUGUGCCUCAAUUCCAUAGGCAAUUCACUCCCCACCUGAAGGCAAAGAACUUUUGAAGGACUGUAACAGAGUACCUACAAAGGUCUACAAAGCCCUAGGCUCGUCAAUAUGCAGACCAAGAAUUAUAUUCAGAUGGAAUCACAUUUAUUGCAUACACACUACAAUUUUUAAAACUCAUACAGAUACUGCUAUGAUUUUUAAAAAUACAUAGUAUCUAGGGGUGAUAUUUAAAAAUAUUUAAUAACUGGUCAAGCAUGGGCUUCAACUAAUAAAACAGACUGCUGGCCCUCAAUGGCCAGCAUGGAUGGACUGGUUCCCACCAGCUGAAUAUCAGACAGCCAAUCCAGGUGAGGGAGACAACUUUCCCCAUCUCUCUUUUCUUUUUUCAAUUAAGAAGGGGUCCUCGUAGUUAAAAAAAAAAAAAAAAAAAAAUUGGGCAUUACUAUUCUUAGAAAUUUGGUUGGCUCAGAUGUUAACAACAUAUCCUAGUUAGUGAUUAAGCCACAACCCACAUGAACGAUCACAAUAAAUUUAGAAAUUAGUCUUUUCCUGGUGCUUUGUCUUUCAUCAUCUUUAACAGAAUCAUUCCCUCACCUUCCCACAAAUUCCUGUAAUUGGCCAACUCUUACCAGAUGUUUUAAAGGCUACCGACACUAACCCAUGAAAAACUGUCUUUACUUAUACUUUAUUUAGAAUAAGAAACAGCUAGUCUCAGGUUUGCAUAUUCAAUUUAGUUAAACCAUUUAAUACCCUGCUAAUAGGAAACGUUCCAACUUCAGAAGGAUAUCUGGGAUGGACUGCAAUUUGUGCUCAAGUAUUUUACCUUAGAGUGUGUCUGCAAUUAGAAGCAAUGUGUAAGACCAUAAGAAUGGACAACAGUUCUUCCCUAGUGAGAGAAGAAAACAAGCUGGGCUGGCCAGGCUACCUUCUGCUUUCAUUAGCCCAAGGAGUAACUCCAAGGCUCUCCAUCUCUGUCCCACUUUAGUCAAAUAAAUUAUUCACAUUAAUAUAUUUAGUACAUUAUACUAGUUCAAUGAGUCAUUUAGGUCAAUUUCUCAAAGCUAACAAACGAUGAUAAGAGGGACAGUAUAAUAACCUCAAGAUAAUAAAAAAAACCCUAUCUUUCCAACAGAUUCAGUACAAAGCCAAGUGACUAAGGCAACAAUUAGAAAUAAAGAUGUAGUUAUAAAGAAAAUAAAGAAUUUAGUCAUACUUACCAAAAUGUAAAUUUAAAUAGAGAUGGAUCAUACAUACUCAAAUAUAGAUCAUGUAUUUUUUUAAACCUACUGAAGUUAUAAUUUUAAAUAAAGUGGCAAAAUGACACCAUCUAAUUUCUCUUCAGAAAAUUGGUAUCCAUUCUGGUUAUCUUCUUAAUCUAAAAUUAAAAUACUGAGGGUCUCCUCAUUAGAAGAAGCUUCAGUUAUCAAAUCAUUGAAAAUAUGAAUGUAUAUUCCAACAAA
Long non-coding RNA from Aethalodelphis obliquidens (Pacific white-sided dolphin), 2626 nucleotides. RefSeq lists it as uncharacterized. Lineage: Eukaryota; Metazoa; Chordata; Mammalia; Artiodactyla; Delphinidae. The transcript is spliced from 5 exons. The record is from RefSeq and is a predicted model, not a curated record.